This 477-nucleotide ribosomal RNA is filed under the name Candidatus Scalindua brodae. RNAcentral's name for it is "bacterial SSU rRNA". It matches the Rfam family "Bacterial small subunit ribosomal RNA", at positions 365 to 832 of the family's 1533-position model. Lineage: Bacteria; Pseudomonadati; Planctomycetota; Candidatus Brocadiia; Candidatus Brocadiales; Candidatus Scalinduaceae. The record is from RNAcentral.
UUCGCAAUGCCCGAAAGGGUGACGAAGCGACGCCGCGUGGGUGAGGAAGGCCUUCGGGUUGUAAAGCCCUGUCAGGAGUUAAGAAAUGUAAGUGCGCUAAUAUCGCAUUUAUUUGGCGAAGGCUCCAAAGGAAGUCACGGCUAACUCUGUGCCAGCAGCCGCGGUAAUACAGAGGUGGCAAGCGUUGUUCGGAAUUAUUGGGCGUAAAGAGCACGUAGGUGGGUUUGUAAGUCAGAUGUGAAAGCCUUCUGUUCAACGGAAGAAUUGCAUCUGAAACUGCGAGUCUUGAGUGUAGGGGGGGAGAAUGGAACUUCUGGUGGAGCGGUGAAAUGCGUAGAUAUCAGAAGGAACGCCGGCGGCGAAAGCGAUUCUCUGGCCUAUUACUGACACUCAGUGUGCGAAAGCUAGGGGAGCAAACGGGAUUAGAUACCCCGGUAGUCCUAGCCGUAAACGAUGGGCACUAAGUAGAGGGGUUUU